CGUAACUAUAACGGUCCUAAGGUAGCGAAAUUCCUUGUCGGGUAAGUUCCGACCCGCACGAAAGGCGUAACGAUUUGGGCACUGUCUCAACGAGAGACUCGGUGAAAUCAUAGUACCGGUGAAGAUGCCGGUUACCCGCGACAGGACGGAAAGACCCCGUGGAGCUUUACUGUAGCCUGAUAUUGAAAUUCGGUACAGUUUGUACAGGAUAGGUAGGAGCCUUAGAAGCGUGAGCGCUAGCUUACGUGGAGGCAUUGGUGGGAUACUACCCUAAUUGUAUUGGAUUUCUAACCCGCAGCACUUAUCGUGCUGGGAGACAGUGUCAGGCGGGCAGUUUGACUGGGGCGGUCGCCUCCUAAAGAGUAACGGAGGCGCUCAAAGGUUCCCUCAGAAUGGUUGGAAAUCAUUCAUAGAGUGUAAAGGCAUAAGGGAGCUUGACUGCGAGACCUACAAGUCGAGCAGGGUCGAAAGACGGACUUAGUGAUCCGGUGGUUCCGCAUGGAAGGGCCAUCGCUCAACGGAUAAAAGCUACCCCGGGGAUAACAGGCUUAUCUCCCCCAAGAGUUCACAUCGACGGGGAGGUUUGGCACCUCGAUGUCGGCUCAUCGCAUCCUGGGGCUGUAGUCGGUCCCAAGGGUUGGGCUGUUCGCCCAUUAAAGCGGUACGCGAGCUGGGUUCAGAACGUCGUGAGACAGUUCGGUCCCUAUCCGUCGUGGGCGUAGGAAAUUUGAGAGGAGCUGUCCUUAGUACGAGAGGACCGGGAUGGACAUACCUCUGGUGUACCAGUUGUCGUGCCAACGGCAUAGCUGGGUAGCUAUGUAUGGACGGGAUAAGUGCUGAAAGCAUCUAAGCAUGAAGCCCCCCUCGAGAUGAGAUUUCCCAACUUCGGUUAUAAGAUCCCUCAAAGAUGAUGAGGUGAAUAGGUUCGAGGUGGAAGCGUAGCGAUACGUGGAGCUGACGAAUACUAAUCGAUCGAAGACUUAA
RNAcentral lists this ribosomal RNA (984 nucleotides) under Staphylococcus pseudintermedius. Its description in RNAcentral is "partial 23S ribosomal RNA". It matches the Rfam family "Bacterial large subunit ribosomal RNA", at positions 1935 to 2925 of the family's 2925-position model. The record is from RNAcentral. Lineage: Bacteria; Bacillati; Bacillota; Bacilli; Caryophanales; Staphylococcaceae.